RNAcentral lists this ribosomal RNA (168 nucleotides) under Scorpaena mystes (stone scorpionfish). RNAcentral describes it as "partial small subunit ribosomal RNA". Lineage: Eukaryota; Metazoa; Chordata; Actinopteri; Perciformes; Scorpaenidae. The record is from RNAcentral.
CACCGCGGUUAUACGAGAGGCCCAAGUUGAUAUUUACCGGCGUAAAGAGUGGUUAUGGAACAUGCUAACUAAAGCCGCACCCCUUCAAAGCUGUUAUACGCAUAUGAAGGAGAGAAGCCCACCCACGAAAGUGGCUUUACUACGCCUGACCCCACGAAAGCUAUGGCA